This 389-nucleotide long non-coding RNA is filed under the name Mytilus galloprovincialis (Mediterranean mussel). Lineage: Eukaryota; Metazoa; Mollusca; Bivalvia; Mytilida; Mytilidae. The record is from RNAcentral.
GGGUAAUACAUUUAGAAAGUCGGGGGCCAAAAAAUUACCAAAUACAUGCAAGAAUUAUAUUUCAGUUUUCAGACAAAAGCUUGUGUUAAAGUGUAUGGAUCGCAUUGAAAUUGUAAUACAAGAUAUCAUACCUUAAAGGAGUAGGCUGAAAUUUACUUAAGGGUAAUUUCUUCAAAGGGGGGAGGUAAACAAAAAGGAGGGGAGGUCAUUUUUUUUUUAUUCUACAUUUGUUUGUGUUUUAUGUGUAAUUUUGACUGUUUUAUUUUAUCAGAGUGAGCAUUGGGACAAAUUGCGCUAGAGGCUGUAUCUAAUUCGGAAUAUUCUCAUUGCACAAAAACUUUACGAAUAGGUAUAGGAAGAUGUGGUGUGAGUGCCAAUGCGACAGCUCU